This 69-nucleotide transfer RNA is filed under the name Chelonia mydas (Green sea turtle). The record is from Rfam by way of RNAcentral. Lineage: Eukaryota; Metazoa; Chordata; Testudines; Cheloniidae.
CAGUGUGGCCUAGUGCAGAAGGCAUUGGACUAGGACUCCAGAGACCCAGGUCUACUCCUGGUCCACUGG